This 73-nucleotide transfer RNA is filed under the name Cathartes aura (turkey vulture). It matches the Rfam family "tRNA". Rfam says of the family: Transfer RNA (tRNA) molecules are approximately 80 nucleotides in length. Their secondary structure includes four short double-helical elements and three loops (D, anti-codon, and T loops). The record is from Rfam by way of RNAcentral. Lineage: Eukaryota; Metazoa; Chordata; Aves; Accipitriformes; Cathartidae.
GGCUCUGUAGCUCAGUGGUUAGAGCACUGGUCUCGUAAACCAGGGGUCGUGAGUUCAAAUCUCACCAGGGCCU